This 490-nucleotide ribosomal RNA is filed under the name uncultured bacterium. RNAcentral describes it as "partial 16S ribosomal RNA". It matches the Rfam family "Bacterial small subunit ribosomal RNA", at positions 29 to 507 of the family's 1533-position model. The record is from RNAcentral.
AAUGAACGCUGGCGGCAUGCCUUACACAUGCAAGUCGAACGGCAGCAUGACCUAGCUUGCUAGGUUGAUGGCGAGUGGCGCACGGGUGAGUAAUGCAUCGGAACAUGCCUUUUAGUGGGGGAUAACGUAGCGAAAGUUACGCAAAUACCGCAUAUUCUCUGAGGAGGAAAGCAGGGGACCUUCGGGCCUUGCGCUAGAAGAGCGGCCGAUGUCGGAUUAGCUAGUUGGUGAGGUAAAGGCUCACCAAGGCAACGAUCCGUAGCGGGUCUGAGAGGAUGAUCCGCCACACUGGGACUGAGACACGGCCCAGACUCCUACGGGAGGCAGCAGUGGGGAAUUUUGGACAAUGGGCGCAAGCCUGAUCCAGCCAUGCCGCGUGAGUGAAGAAGGCCUUCGGGUUGUAAAGCUCUUUCGGCUGGGAAGAAAUCGCACCCUCUAAUACAGGGUGUGGAUGACGGUACCAGCAUAAGAAGCACCGGCUAACUACGUG